Molecule: long non-coding RNA, 6040 nt
Filed under: Homo sapiens (human)
Lineage: Eukaryota; Metazoa; Chordata; Mammalia; Primates; Hominidae
Description: HSALNT0019416
Source: RNAcentral
UACUGUCACAUUUAGCCAGUGCAGUUGGACAAGACUAAGAAACUAGAUGUGUGAAUAUAAUUUAGAGGAAGAGGAAAAACUAUUUCUACUUGCAAAGUAGAACAUGUGAUACCCAGGAGGUCACAGUGUGGUAGGCUAAAUUAUGACCCCCAUAUAGGUCCACAGCCUGAUCAUUGGAAUGUCUGAAUAUGGGACCUUUGCCUGGCAAAAGAACUUUGCAGAUGUAAUUGAAUUAAGGCUUUUGGGAUGAGGAGAUCAUCUUAGAUAAUCUGGAUGUGUUUCCUGUAAUCACAAGGCUCCUUAUCAGAGGGACGCAGGAAGAGUCCGUCAGAUAGAAGGUGAUAUAACAAGGAAGCAGAAGGCUAGAGAGAAAGAAAUUUGAAGAUGCUUUACUGCUGGCUUGAAGAUGGACAAAGGGAGCAAUGAGCCAAAGGACAAGCAAGGCCUGUAGAAGCUAAAAUAGCAAACAGAGGGGCACCUGAAAGUGUUAGACCAGAAGAUACCACUGAGGAAGGAAUGUUUAAAGUGGAAUGAUACAUUUCCAACAGAACAUAAACAACAAAAUACUUAAUAUGCAGUCCAGACUGAAAUGUGUAAUGAAAAUAGUUGGAUAUUAAAGAAUUCAAGAGUGAGAGGCAUCAGCAAGGAGGACCUCCUCCUUAUUAUUGAGAUUUUCCUGACAUCAAUGUAUCCUUUUGAGUAUAUUAUCGUAUCUCUUAACAUUUCUGUUUCAUCCUUGACCUGAGACUUUUUUUUUUUUUUUUAAUCUUGAGAUAAUUCUUGGCUUUGUCAAGGCUACUGGUGACAAAAGCAUUAGCAAGCAGGUGCAGAGUGCUUUUUCCACCAAAGAAGAGACAUUGUACUCUUUUUGGGGUUAUAUUAAUGACUAAAUCUGAGAAAUUAGAAAUGCAUUUGCUGAAUUGAAGAACCCAUUAGAGACUCUCAACAGGAGAAUGGGUCUUGCUGAGGAGUCAGUGACCUCUCAGGCCAGCUAUUUGAAAAUACAAAGUCAGAGGAAAAAAACGAAAAAAAGAAUGAAAAUGAAUUAAGACUGCCUACGAGAUACAGAAAAUUACCUCAAAAGACUAAAUCUGAGUUAUCAGUGCUCAAAAGGGAAUCAAACAAGAGCAAGUGGUAGAAAGUUUUUUCAAGGAAAGAAUAACAGAAAACUUACCAACUCUUGAGAUAGAUAUACAUAUCUAGGUACAGGAAGAUCUGAGAGCACCAAGCAGAUUCAACUCAAAUAAGAAUACCAUAAGACACUGAAUAAUCAGACUGUCAAAGGUCAAGGACAAAGAGAGAAUACUAAAGGCAGCAAGAGAAGAAAAGCAAAUAACAUAUAAAGGAAUUCCAAUCCAUCUGGCAGCAGAUUUCACAAUGGAAAUCUUAUAGGCCAGCGGGGAGUGGAACAUGUUCAAAAGCUCAAAGAAGAAAACUGAUAUGAAAGAAUAUUGCAUUCAGCAAAAUUAUCCUUCAGAUAUGAAGGAGAAAUAAAGUUUUUCCAAGACAAUCAAAAACUGAGAAAAUUUACCAUCGCCAGACCCAUUGCAAGAAAUACUAAAGGGAGUUCUUCAAUCUGAAAGAACUGAAAAAAAAAAAAAAACUAAUAUGCAAAAAGAAAAUUUUGCAAUGUAUAAAACACAAUGGUAAGUUUAAGUAUAGAGACAAACCCGGAAUACUCUAUUGCUGUAAUUGUGGUGUGCAUUCCACUCCUAACUCUAGUAUGAAGUUUAGAAGACAAAUAUAUCAAAAACCAUAGUAGGUUACAGCAACCUGUUAAGAGAUAGAUAACAAAUAAAUAUGUAAAUAGAGACAAGUAACCCAAAAUAUGAGUCACAUAAAGUGUGUAUAUAUAUAAUAUAUAUAUAUACACACUUUAUAUAUAAGUAUAUAUAUAUACACACUUUAUAUAUAAGUAAAUAUAUACACACUUUAUAUAUAAGUAUAUAUAUAUAUAUUUGUAUUUUUACCUUUAUAUCUAUUCUUAAUUGUGAUCUAAGACAAAUUUUCAUCUAAUUGAAAAACAUAUCUAUGAGAUGUUUUUGUAAGCCUCAUGGCAACAACAAUGCAAAAACCUAUAAUAGAUUAAAAAAAGCAAUAAAUGAAAACAUGUAACCAGAGAAAAUCACUUAACCACAAAGAAAUACAGGAAGAAAGGGGCCGGGCGCCGUGGCUCACACCUGUAAUCCCAGUACUUUGGGAGGCAGAGGCAGGCAGAUCACGAGGUCAGGAGAUCGAGACCACCCUGGCUAACACGGUGAAACCCCAUCUCUACUAAAAAUACAAAAAAUUAGCAGGCGUGGUGGCGGGAGCCUGUAGUCCCAGCUACUCGGGAGGCUGAGGCAGGAGAAUGGCGUGAACACGGGGGGCAGAGCUUGCAGUGAGCUGAGAUCCUGCCACUGCACUCCAGCCUGGGCGACAGAGAGAGACUCCGUCUCAAAAAAAAAAAAAAAAAAAAAGAAGAAGAAAUACAGGAUGAAAGGAAGACAGGAAAAAAGAAAGAGAGGAGUAGAAAUCGCAAAUAAACCAGAAUGCAAGCAACAAAAUGGCAGUGGUGAGAUCUUACUUAUCAAUAAGAAUGCUGAAUGUAAAUGAUCUGAAUACCCUAAGUCAAAGGCGUGAAGUAGCUAAACAGAUAAAGAAACAUGACCCAACCAUAUUCUGGCUUCAAGAAAACCAAUUCACCCUUAAAAACACACAUAGUCUGAAAAUGAAGGGAUGAAAAAAAUAGUCCAUGCUACUGGAAACCAAAAAAGAGCAGGAGCAGCUAUACAUUUAUUGAAUAAAAUAGACUACAAAACUAAUAUUCCAGAAAGAGACAAAUAAGGUUAGAAAAUGGUGAUAAAGGAGUCAAUUCAUUAGGAGGUUAUAUUACAAAUAUUUAUGCACCCAACAUCAGAGCUUCCAAGUACAUAAAGCAAAGAAUAAUAGAUCUAAAGGGAGAGAUAGAGUGUAAUGCAAUAAUAUUGGGGGAUUUUAAUACCUCACUCUCAAUAAUGGACAGAUCAUUCAGACAGAAAAUGAACAAGGAAACAGUGCAUUUAAACUACACAAUAUAUCUAAUAGGCUUAACUGACAUUUACAGAACAUUUCACCCAAUUGCUGCAGAAUACACAUUCUUUUCAUCACCACAUGGAACAUUUUCUAGAAUAGACCAUAUAUCAGGCCAUAAAACAAGACUAAGCAAAUUCAAAAAAUAGAAAUUAUAUCUAGUGCCUUUUCUCACCAAAAUGGAAUAAAACUAGAAAUCAGUUACAAGAAGAACCUUGAUAAAUAAGCUAAUAUAUGGAAAUUAAACAACAUGCUCCUGAAUGACUAAAGGGUGAAUAAAAAAAUUAAGAAGACAACUUCUUAAAAUAGAUUAGAUUGAAAAAAGAAAUGCAACAUACCAAAACCAUGUGUUACAGCAAAAGCAGUGCAGUAAGAAGUUUAUAGCAAUAAACAACUAUAUCAAAUAAGUAGAAAGACUUCAAAUAAAAAACUUAAUAAUGUACCUCAACCAUUAGAAAUACAAAAACAAAAAAAAUCCAAAAUUAGCAGAAGGAAAGAUAAUAAAUAUCUGAGCAGAAAUAAGUGAAAUUGCGACUGAAAUCAAUACAGAAGCUUAAUGAAACAAAAAGUUGGUUUUUUGAAAAGGUAAACAAAAUUGACAAAACUUUGAACAAAGAGAAAAGAACCAAAUAAAUAAAAUUAGAAAUGAAAAAGGAUGCAUACCUGAGACCUCAAAAAUAUGAAGAGUUUUCAGAGACUGUUCUGAAUAACUAUAUACCAACAAAUUGGAUAACCUAGAAGAAAUAAGUUCCUGGAAACAUACAACCUACAUAGAUUGAACCCUGAAGAAACUGAAAACCUCAACAAAUUAAUAACGAGUAACAAGAUCUAAACUGUAGUAAAAAAAAAAAAAAAAAAAAAAAAAAGCUUCCCAUAAAAGUAAAUCUCAGGACCUGAUGGCUUCACUGCUGAAUUUAACCCAUCAUUUAAAGAACUAAUACCAAUCCUACUCAACUCAACAAUAAAUUAAAGAGAAGAGAAUAUUUCCAAACUCAUUCUAUGAGGCCAUUACCACGAUACCAAAACCAGACAAGAAUACAACAAAAAAGAAAACUACAGGCCAAUAACAUUGAUGAACACAGAUGCAAAUUCCUCAACAAAAUACUAGCAAACCAAAUUCAACAACACAUUAAAAAGACAAUUCACCAUGGUCAAGUGAGAUUUAGUCCAGGAAUACAAGAAUAGUUAAACAUACACCAAUCUGUAAAUGUGACAUUCCACAUUAAGAGAAUUAAGAACAAAAAUCAUAUUAUUAUUUCAAUAGGUAGACAAAACCCAGUUGAUAUAACAUUGCUUUAUUAAAAACCCUAAUCAAAACGGUUAUAGAAGAAACAUAUCUCAAAAUAAUAAAGGCCAUACAUGACAAACCCAGAGUUAGUAUUCUGAGCAGGGAAAAAUUAAAGUCCCUUCUUCUAAGGACUGGAACAAGACAGGAUGCCCACUUUCCCCAUUUUUAUUUCAUGUAACACAGAAAGUCCUGGUUAGAAUGAUUAGGCAAGAGAAAGAAAUAACAGUCAUCUAAAUUGGAAAAGAAGAAACCAAAUUAGUCUUGUUUGCAGAUGACAUAGUCUUAAACCUAGAAAAACAUGAAGACUAUCACACAUUUUCUAGAAUUGAGAAAUGAGUUUACUAACGUUGCAGGAUACAAAAUCAACAUACAAAAAUCAGUAACAUUUAUAUACAUCAACAAUAAAUAAUCUGAAAAGGAAACCAGUAAAUCAAUCCCUUUAGCAACAAAAAUAUAAAGUAUCUAGGAAUCCUUCUAAUUAAAGGAGUGAAACAUCUCUACAAGAAAAACUAUAAAAUUCUAAUGAAAGAAAUAGAAGGGAACACAAAAAAGUUGGAAAGAUAGUCCAUGCUCAAGGGUUAGAAAAAUUAAUGUUCAAAUGACAAUAUCAACAAAAGCAAUUUACAGAUUUCAUGCAACCCCAAUCAAAAUUUACUACCAAGCCAUCAUAACCAAAAAGAGACAUAUAGACCAAUGGAACAGAAAAUAAAACCCAGAUAUAAAUUCACACAUCUACAGGUAACUCAUUUUCAACGAAGAUACCAAGAGCACACGAUGGAGAAAGGAUAGUCUUCUUAAUAAAUGGUAGCAGGAAAACUGGAUAACUGUCUACUGAAAAAUAAAACUAAAUCCUUAUCUCUCACCAUACACGAAAAUCAAAUAAAAAUGGAUUAAGGAUUUAAAUCUAAGACCUGAAACUAUGAAACUGCUAGAGAAAAAAAAAACACCUGGGAAACAUUCCAGGACACUGGUCUUGGCAAAGACUUUUUGAGUAAGACCUCAAAAGCACAGGCAACCAAAGCAAAAAUAGGCAAAUCCGACUAAAUCAAGCUAAAAAUGCUUCUGUACAGCAAAGGAAACAACCGAUAAAAUAAAGAGACAAUUCCCAGAAAGGGAGAAAAUAUUUGAAAUCUAUCCAUCUGACAAGAUUAAUAACCAUAAUAUAUAAUAAGCUCAAACAAUUCAAUAGCAAAAUAAGAAGAAGAAUCCAAAAUGGGCAAAAUAAUUGAACAGACAUUUCUCAAAAAAGACAUAAAAAUGGCCAACAGGUAUAUUACGAAUUGCUCAACAUCACUAAUCAUCAAAUAAAUGCAAAUCAAACCACAAUGAGAUAUUAUCUUAUACAAGUUAAAAUGGCUUGUCUAAAAAUUACAGACAGUAACAGAUGCUGGCAAAGAUGUGGAGAAUGAGGAACCCUUGUACACUGUUGGUGGGGAUGUAAAUUAUAUAUUUAAAAUACAGUCACUGUGGGGAACAGUAUGGAGGUUCCUCAAAAACUAAAAAUAGAACUAUCAUAUGAUCCAGCCAUUCUACUACUGGGUAUAUAUAUCCAAAAGAAAGGAAAUCAGUAUAUGAAAGAGAUAUAUGCACUGCAUAGUAGCAAAAAUAUGGUAUCAAAGUAAGUGUGCAUCAAUGAAUGAAUGGAUAAAGAAAAUAUGACAUACAUACACACAAUGGAAUAUUAUUCAACCAUAAAAAAGC